RNAcentral lists this ribosomal RNA (467 nucleotides) under Excirolana braziliensis. RNAcentral's name for it is "partial 12S ribosomal RNA". It matches the Rfam family "Microsporidia small subunit ribosomal RNA", at positions 582 to 1276 of the family's 1311-position model. Lineage: Eukaryota; Metazoa; Arthropoda; Malacostraca; Isopoda; Cirolanidae. The record is from RNAcentral.
UCUAGGAAAGGAGGGUGAAAUCUUUUUUCUAUGGGGGGCAAUUUUAAGAGCCUAACCCUCUAGGAUAAACCGGGAUUAGAUACCCCGCUAUACAGGGGAGGUUCAAAGGGGGGUAGUAACGGCUAUGGGCCCUAAACCCAAAGAACUUGGCGGCAACUUAUCCAACUAGAGGAGCCUGCCCCAUAACCGAUACCACCCGUUAACCCAACCUCCAGCAUGUUUGUAUACCGCCGUCUAACCUUUAACUUUUAAGUUGGGGUUUAAAGGUCGCCCUUAAAGACAGGUCGAGGUGCAGCGUAUAUGGGGGGGGAGGUGGGCUACAAUCCCAAUGGAGGCAGACCCCCUCCUAAGGGAGGGGGGCAAGAUGGAUUUAGAGGUAACGUGGGGUCAAAACCCCCCCGUGAAUUGGAUCUGAGUUGUGUACAUAUCGCCCGUCACUCUCAUCAAACUUGAGAUAAGUCGUAACA